RNAcentral lists this ribosomal RNA (207 nucleotides) under uncultured bacterium. RNAcentral describes it as "partial 16S ribosomal RNA". It matches the Rfam family "Bacterial small subunit ribosomal RNA", at positions 568 to 774 of the family's 1533-position model. The record is from RNAcentral.
CGUGUAGGCGGUUUAAUAAGUCAGAUGUAAAAGCCCCCGGCUCAACCGGGGAUAGUCAUUUGAAACUGUUAGGCUUGAGUGCGAGAGAGGGUAGUGGAAUUCCCAGUGUAGCGGUGAAAUGCGUAGAUAUUGGGAAGAACACCAGUAGCGAAGGCGGCUACCUGGCUCGCAACUGACGCUAAGGCGCGAAAGCGUGGGGAGCAAACA